RNAcentral lists this unclassified non-coding RNA (549 nucleotides) under Hevea brasiliensis (rubber tree). The record is from RNAcentral. Lineage: Eukaryota; Viridiplantae; Streptophyta; Magnoliopsida; Malpighiales; Euphorbiaceae.
GGGGGAAAAAAAAAAAAAAAAAAGAUGAACCAGUGUGCUAUCCAUCCAAGCGCUUUCUCUACCCGCGAAGAGAUACGGAGUUGCGUCUCGGACAGGAGAGAUCCGGUUGUUUGUCCCAAACCGAGACGUCUCGGUAUGUUGACCACCGCCAACGACCACCCUGUCAGGUCUCUCAGAUGGCAUCUCAGCCACCAAGCGGAGGUUUGUGAUUCAAAAGCAGGAACUGAUCUUUUGGAAAUAAUCCUGACAAAGGGUGGUUGUGGUGUGGAACAAUCCUGUACACAAGUAGCCUCGUCGCCCCCUUUUUUUUGUGGGUCGCCGCCAAGCAGAGUAGCUAACCCUUUAAUUCAAGACGCCCGAUUUGGGGACGAGAAAAUCUCUCCUAUCUCGCCACUUAUGCCCGUGCCGAUUCUUUCUCCAUCGGGUUUAUCAUCUUCUCCGACUUCCUCUACAAGGAAGGCAGGCUGCGUUAGGUCAAAUUUUGGGAACAAACCAGCAGUGAGGAUUGAGGGUUUUGAUUGCCUUGACAGGGAUCGCAGGAAUUGCAGC